CUCCCUCUCUGCUAUCUGGCAUUCGCCCACAGUCUCAAGGUAAACCACAGAAAACCUUGAGCAGAUAGUCGAGCAUUAAACUGAACUCUUAAAAUCUUAUGUGCCGUGUUUUCACAAAGGUCAGUGUAAAAGUGUGUAAUGUGGCUUCAUGA
This is a long non-coding RNA of Diprion similis, 152 nucleotides long. RefSeq lists it as uncharacterized. The transcript is spliced from 3 exons. Lineage: Eukaryota; Metazoa; Arthropoda; Insecta; Hymenoptera; Diprionidae. The record is from RefSeq and is a predicted model, not a curated record.